RNAcentral lists this ribosomal RNA (1370 nucleotides) under Streptomyces albiflaviniger. RNAcentral describes it as "16S ribosomal RNA". It matches the Rfam family "Bacterial small subunit ribosomal RNA". The record is from RNAcentral. Lineage: Bacteria; Bacillati; Actinomycetota; Actinomycetes; Kitasatosporales; Streptomycetaceae.
UUCGGCCGGGGGAUUAGUGGCGAACGGGUGAGUAACACGUGGGCAAUCUGCCCUGCACUCUGGGACAAGCCCUGGAAACGGGGUCUAAUACCGGAUAUGACUACCGACCGCAUGGUCUGGUGGUGGAAAGCUCCGGCGGUGCAGGAGAGCCCUAUCAGCUUGUUGGUGGGGUGAUGCCUACCAAUGGCGACGACGGGUAGCCGGCCUGGAGGGCGACCGGCACACUGGACUGAGACCGGCCCAGACUCCUACGGGAGGCAGCAGUGGGGAAUAUUGCACAAUGGGCGAAAGCCUGAUGCAGCGACGCCGCGUGAGGGGAUGACGCUUCGGGUUGUAAACCUCUUUCAGCAGGGAAGAAGCGCAAGUGACGGUACCUGCAGAAGAAGCGCCGGCUAACUACGUGCCAGCAGCCGCGGUAAUACGUAGGGCGCAAGCGUUGUCCGGAAUUAUUGGGCGUAAAGAGCUCGUAGGCGGCUUGUCACGUCGGAUGUGAAAGCCCGGGGCUUAACCCCGGGUCUGCAUUCGAUACGGGCAGGCUAGAGUUCGGUAGGGGAGAUCGGAAUUCCUGGUGUAGCGGUGAAAUGCGCAGAUAUCAGGAGGAACACCGGUGGCGAAGGCGGAUCUCUGGGCCGAUACUGACGCUGAGGAGCGAAAGCGUGGGGAGCGAACAGGAUUAGAUACCCUGGUAGUCCACGCCGUAAACGUUGGGAACUAGGUGUGGGCGACAUUCCACGUUGUCCGUGCCGCAGCUAACGCAUUAAGUUCCCCGCCUGGGGAGUACGGCCGCAAGGCUAAAACUCAAAGGAAUUGACGGGGGCCCGCACAAGCGGCGGAGCAUGUGGCUUAAUUCGACGCAACGCGAAGAACCUUACCAAGGCUUGACAUACACCGGAAAACCCUGGAGACAGGGUCCCCCUUGUGGUCGGUGUACAGGUUGGUGCAUGGGCUGUCGUCAGCUCGUGUCGUGAGAUGUUGGGAUUAAGUCCCGCAACGAGCGCACCCCUUUGUUCUGUGUGCCAGCAUGGCCUUCGGGGUGAUGGGGACUCACAGGAGUACUGCCGGGGUCAACUCGAGGAAGGGUGGGGGACGACGAUCAAGUUCAUCAUGCCCUUAUGUCUUGGGCUGGCACACGUGCUACAAUGGCCGGUACAAUGACGUCGAGCCGUGAGGUUGGAACGUAAUAUCUCUCAAGAAAGCGGCUUCACGGAUUGGGGUCUGCAACUCGACCCCAUGAAGUCGGAGUCGCUAGUAAUCGCAGAUCAGCAUUGCUGCGGUGAAUACGUUCCCGGGCCUUGUACACACCGCCCGUCACGUCACGAAAGUCGGUAACACCCGAAGCCGGUGGCCCAACCCUUACGAGGUAGCCGCCG